This is a non-coding RNA of Gorilla gorilla gorilla (western lowland gorilla), 119 nucleotides long. RefSeq annotates it as microRNA mir-518d. NCBI's taxonomy places the organism in Eukaryota, Metazoa, Chordata, Mammalia, Primates, Hominidae. The transcript has a single exon. The record is from RefSeq and is marked provisional.
CUGGAGUGAGAAGAUCCCAUGCUGUGACCCUCUAGAGGGAAGCACUUUCUGUUGUCUGAAAGAAACCAAAGCGCUUCCCUUUGGAGCGUUACGGUUUGAGAAACUCAAUGUUGAAGUUG